UGAGCGGUAUUGUAAAGCCUGGAUGACUCUGGUCACUCGUAGAGUGUCCUAGCUGUUCCUGAAAUGGAACGGGAACCGAAAGUAGACUGAAAUCCGAGCCCAGGGUGAGCCGCUCA
RNAcentral lists this non-coding RNA (116 nucleotides) under unclassified sequences. RNAcentral's name for it is "DUF3800-III RNA". It matches the Rfam family "DUF3800-III RNA". The record is from Rfam by way of RNAcentral.